CAAAUCUGGGAAAAAUAUUUGUUCUGCUUAAAGAGACGCAAGUAAGUUUGGGAGUUAGUCUCUGCCUUAUUAACUUGGCCACAAGCUGCUGAUAAAUAAAUCAUUUUAGUUUUUGGCAUACUGCAAAGAUCAUAACAAGAGCUGUGUGUUGGGAGGCCUUGAAAGCCAGCAAGGUACAUCUAUAUAAUUCAAAAAAAGAGAUGAAGACUGCAUUACCCACCAUUUUGAGAGUUCACCGCAUUGAGGACACAGCCUCAAAGACAGCCUCAGUUGUCUUUGGGGACUGAAUACAAUUAACAAGGAGGAUGUGAUACUUCCCGAAGACUCAGCA
Molecule: long non-coding RNA, 331 nt
Organism: Columba livia (rock pigeon)
Lineage: Eukaryota; Metazoa; Chordata; Aves; Columbiformes; Columbidae
Exons: 3
Source: RefSeq, a predicted model, not a curated record